GACGGACGCUGGCGGCGUGCCUAAUACAUGCAAGUAGAACGCACAGUUUAUACCGUAGCUUGCUACACCAUAGACUGUGAGUUGCGAACGGGUGAGUAACGCGUAGGUAACCUGCCUGGUAGCGGGGGAUAACUAUUGGAAACGAUAGCUAAUACCGCAUAAUAUUAAUUAUUGCAUGAUAAUUAAUUGAAAGGUGCAAUUGCACCACUACCAGAUGGACCUGCGUUGUAUUAGCUAGUAGGUGAGGUAACGGCUCACCUAGGCGACGAUACAUAGCCGACCUGAGAGGGUGAUCGGCCACACUGGGACUGAGACACGGCCCAGACUCCUACGGGAGGGAGCAGUAGGGAAACUUCGGCAAUGGACGAAAGUCUGACCGAGCAACGCCGCGUGAGGGAAGAAGGGUUUCGGAUCGUAAAGCUCUGUUGUAAGGGAAGAACGGGUGUGAGAGUGGAAAGUUCACACUGUGACGGUAUCUUACCAGAAAGGGACGGCUAACUACGUG
Molecule: ribosomal RNA, 505 nt
Filed under: uncultured bacterium
Lineage: Bacteria
Description: partial 16S ribosomal RNA
Rfam family: Bacterial small subunit ribosomal RNA
Source: RNAcentral